ACAGAGCAAAAUCCUGUCUCACAAAAAAAAUAAAAAAGACAAUGUAGGAAGACUGGGGUGAACUAUAACAUUAAGGACACCAUAUAUAUGCCCUUGUGAAAUCCCCUCCCACAUGGACUUUAGGCCUGGCUAUGAGAUUUGCUUUGGACAAUGACGCAAUAAUACUGAAAUAUAGGCAGAGGCUUCGCAUGUGCUUGUACAUGGACUUUCCCCCUUGGAAUGCUGCUGCCAUCACCACGUGGAAAAGCCAGAUCCGGCCCUCCUGAGGCGGAGUAAUCACAGGGAGAGAGAGGCCCAGCUGGCCCACUAGCUGAAUGUAGCCAAUGAGGGAGCCCAAGCAAGAUCAGCAGAACUAUGCGGCCAAAGCGGAGAAACCUCCCCUUGCUUAAGCAUCAUCUGAAUCCAGCCCCAUGUACUCUUCUGAAGCUCCUGUUGGUACGUGCUUGUCUAGGUCUUACAUCUUCUUUGGGGAACAGUCAUUUACCUCUACCCAUCAGGCAGCCUUCUUGAGGAGCAGGUGCAGAGAGAGACAAAGCUGGAGCAUAAGAUGUGAAAGGAAGGGAGAGGAAGUAG
Molecule: long non-coding RNA, 573 nt
Organism: Homo sapiens (human)
Lineage: Eukaryota; Metazoa; Chordata; Mammalia; Primates; Hominidae
Exons: 3
Source: RefSeq, a predicted model, not a curated record